UGGGGAAUAUUGCACAAUGGGCGCAAGCCUGAUGCAGCAACGCCGCGUGAACGAUGAAGGUCUUCGGAUCGUAAAGUUCUGUUGCAGGGGAAGAUAAUGACGGUACCCUGUGAGGAAGCCCCGGCUAACUACGUGCCAGCAGCCGCGGUAAUACGUAGGGGGCUAGCGUUAUCCGGAUUUACUGGACGUAAAGGGUGCGUAGGUGGUCUUUCAAGUCGGUGGUUAAAGGCUACGGCUCAACCGUAGUUAGCCUCCGAAACUGGAAGACUUGAGUGCAGGAGAGGAAAGUGGAAUUCCGAGUGUAGCGGUGAAAUGCGUAGAUAUUGGGAGGAACACCAGUAGCGAAGGCGGCUUUCUGGACUGCAACUGACACUGAGGCACGAAAGCGUGGGUAGCAAACAGG
RNAcentral lists this ribosomal RNA (403 nucleotides) under Verrucomicrobiota bacterium. Its description in RNAcentral is "Verrucomicrobia bacterium partial 16S ribosomal RNA". It matches the Rfam family "Bacterial small subunit ribosomal RNA", at positions 355 to 776 of the family's 1533-position model. Lineage: Bacteria; Pseudomonadati; Verrucomicrobiota. The record is from RNAcentral.